Molecule: ribosomal RNA, 253 nt
Filed under: uncultured bacterium
Lineage: Bacteria
Description: partial 16S ribosomal RNA
Rfam family: Bacterial small subunit ribosomal RNA
Source: RNAcentral
UACAGAGGGGGCAAGCGUUAUUCGGAAUUAUUGGGCGUAAAGGGCGCGUAGGCGGCUUGGCAAGUGGAAGGUGAAAUCCCUCGGCUUAACCGAGGAACUGCCCUCCAAACUGCUUUGCUUGAGGCCGGGAGAGGCGAGUGGAAUUCCCAGUGUAGCGGUGAAAUGCGUAGAUAUUGGGAGGAACACCAGUGGCGAAGGCGGUCUGCUGGGCCAGUACUGACGCUGAGGCGCGACAGCGUGGGGAGCAAACAGG